Molecule: ribosomal RNA, 1065 nt
Filed under: Pseudarthrobacter sp.
Lineage: Bacteria; Bacillati; Actinomycetota; Actinomycetes; Micrococcales; Micrococcaceae
Description: bacterial SSU rRNA
Rfam family: Bacterial small subunit ribosomal RNA
Source: RNAcentral
UUUGGAUGGACUCGCGGCCUAUCUUGUUGUUGGUGAGGUGAUGGCUCACCRAGGSGACGACGGGUAGCCGGCCUGAGAGGGUGACCGGCCACGCUGGGACUGARACACGGCCCACACUCCUACGGGAGGCAGCAGUGGGGAAUAUUGCACAAUGGGCGCAAGCCUGAUGCAGCGACGCCGSGUGAGGGAUGACGGCCUUCGGGUUGUAAACCUCUUUCAGUAGGGAAGAAGCGAAAGUGACGGUACCUGCAGAAGAAGCGCCGGCUAACUACGUGCCAGCAGCCGCGGUAAUACGUAGGGCGCAAGCGUUAUCCGGAAUUAUUGGGCGUAAAGAGCUCGUAGGCGGUUUGUCGCGUCUGCCGUGAAAGUCCGGGGCUCAACUCCGGAUCUGCGGUGGGUACGGGCAGACUAGAGUGAUGUAGGGGAGACUGGAAUUCCUGGUGUAGCGGUGAAAUGCGCAGAUAUCAGGAGGAACACCGAUGGCGAAGGCAGGUCUCUGGGCAUUAACUGACGCUGAGGAGCGAAAGCAUGGGGAGCGAACAGGAUUAGAUACCCUGGUAGUCCAUGCCGUAAACGUUGGGCACUAGGUGUGGGGGACAUUCCACGUUUUCCGCGCCGUAGCUAACGCAUUAAGUGCCCCGCCUGGGGAGUACGGCCGCAAGGCUAAAACUCAAAGGAAUUGACGGGGGCCCGCACAAGCGGCGGAGCAUGCGGAUUAAUUCGAUGCAACGCGAAGAACCUUACCAAGGCUUGACAUGAACCGGAAAGACCUGGAAACAGGUCCCCCACUUGUGGUCGGUUUACAGGUGGUGCAUGGUUGUCGUCAGCUCGUGUCGUGAGAUGUUGGGUUAAGUCCCGCAACGAGCGCAACCCUCGUUCCAUGUUGCCAGCGCGUUAUGGCGGGGACUCAUGGGAGACUGCCGGGGUCAACUCGGAGGAAGGUGGGGACGACGUCAAAUCAUCAUGCCCCUUAUGUCUUGGGCUUCACGCAUGCUACAAUGGCCGGUACAAAGGGUUGCGAUACUGUGAGGUGGAGCUAAUCCCAAAAAGCCGGUAUCAGUUCGG